RNAcentral lists this long non-coding RNA (411 nucleotides) under Bos taurus (domestic cattle). Its description in RNAcentral is "long non-coding RNA NONBTAT018575". The record is from RNAcentral. Lineage: Eukaryota; Metazoa; Chordata; Mammalia; Artiodactyla; Bovidae.
AAACCCCUACAGCAUUCUAUUUAAGUGGAUCACCUGGUAUUGGGAAAUGAAAUUGCUCUGGAGUUUUUCUGCUUAGCUGCCAACUCUGUAGUGUUUACAGUUAUUUUUUAAUGAACUGUCAGAAGCCUGGAGUUCCAUUUGUAGAGUCGUUAUGCUAGCCAGAGUACAUGACUAUUUUUCAGUUAUACAAAUGUUAAUCAAAGAUACAUAUAAGAAAAAAAUUCCCUAGAAUUCACCAAGUUGAGAUUAUUACAGUAUUUUUGUAGAAAGUUUUACUUCAUAUACAAUCAUGAGUUAAUACUUUAAAGCAUUCUUUGGAUGAUAAAAAAUUCUCUUUUUUUCCCCCAGUGCUUCAUCAUCAAUUAUUAUUGUUGAUGACCUGUGAAAUACUGCUUUUCUGUACACUGUGAA